UACAAUGGCGUAACAAAGGGAGGCAAAGCGGCAACGCGGAGCAAACCCCAAAAAUAAACGUCCCAGUUCGGACUGCGGUCUGCAACCCGACCGCACGAAGCUGGAAUCGCUAGUAAUCGCGAAUCAGAAUGUCGCGGUGAAUACGUUCCCGGGUCUUGUACACACCGCCCGUCACACCAUGGGAGUCAGCAACGCCCGAAGUCAGUGACCCAACCGAAAGGAGGGAGCUGCCGAAGGCGGGGCAGGUAACUGGGGUGAAGUCGUAACAAGGUAGC
This 275-nucleotide ribosomal RNA is filed under the name uncultured bacterium. RNAcentral's name for it is "partial 16S ribosomal RNA". It matches the Rfam family "Bacterial small subunit ribosomal RNA", at positions 1226 to 1500 of the family's 1533-position model. The record is from RNAcentral.